GUGUCAGCCGCCGCGGUAAUACGGAGAGGGCAAGCGUUGUUCGGAUUUAUUGGGCGUAAAGCGCGUGUAGGCGGCGCAGUAAGUCAGAUGUUAAAGACCCACGGCUCACCCGGGGGAAUGCGUCUGAUACUGCUGUGCUAGAGUACUGGAGAGGAGAGUGGAAUUCCUGGUGUAGCGGUGAAAUGCGUAGAUAUCAGGAGGAACACCGGUGGCGAAGGCGGCUCUCUGGCCAGUUACUGACGUUGAGGCGCGAAAGCGUGGGUAGCGAACGGGAUUAGAUACCCCUGGUAGUCCACGCCGUAAACGUUGGAUACUAGGUGUGGGAGGUAUUCUACCCCUUCCGUGCCGCAGCUAACGCAUUAAGUAUCCCGCCUGGGGAGUACGACCGCAAGGUUGAAACUUAAAUGAAUUGGCGGGG
This 418-nucleotide ribosomal RNA is filed under the name uncultured prokaryote. Its description in RNAcentral is "bacterial SSU rRNA". It matches the Rfam family "Bacterial small subunit ribosomal RNA", at positions 505 to 918 of the family's 1533-position model. The record is from RNAcentral.